This 171-nucleotide small RNA is filed under the name Chelonoidis abingdonii (Abingdon island giant tortoise). Its description in RNAcentral is "TUC338 (ENSCABG00000014020.1)". Lineage: Eukaryota; Metazoa; Chordata; Testudines; Testudinidae. The record is from RNAcentral.
CGUAUAGCCCCGAAGAUUCAAGUCCUCUGUUUAUCCAUAGAAGCAGGUGCAGCAUGGGCAGCUGCAGUGAAACUGUCUCCCUGCUGCACUGCCUUACUCCUCAUCUGGAGAGAACACCUCCAGCAAUGAGAGGGAAGAUCAGUCUCCAUGCCCAUUCAUUCUCUGGCCUCU